UAUGUCUGGGAACUGCCUGAUGGAGGGGGAUAACUACUGGAAACGGUAGCUAAUACCGCAUAACGUCGCAAGACCAAAGAGGGGGACCUUCGGGCCUCUUGCCAUCGGAUGUGCCCAGAUGGGAUUAGCUAGUAGGUGGGGUAACGGCUCACCUAGGCGACGAUCCCUAGCUGGUCUGAGAGGAUGACCAGCCACACUGGAACUGAGACACGGUCCAGACUCCUACGGGAGGCAGCAGUGGGGAAUAUUGCACAAUGGGCGCAAGCCUGAUGCAGCCAUGCCGCGUGUAUGAAGAAGGCCUUCGGGUUGUAAAGUACUUUCAGCGGGGAGGAAGGGAGUAAAGUUAAUACCUUUGCUCAUUGACGUUACCCGCAGAAGAAGCACCGGCUAACUCCGUGCCAGCAGCCGCGGUAAUACGGAGGGUGCAAGCGUUAAUCGGAAUUACUGGGCGUAAAGCGCACGCAGGCGGUUUGUUAAGUCAGAUGUGAAA
This 490-nucleotide ribosomal RNA is filed under the name Escherichia coli. Its description in RNAcentral is "bacterial SSU rRNA". It matches the Rfam family "Bacterial small subunit ribosomal RNA", at positions 112 to 599 of the family's 1533-position model. The record is from RNAcentral. Lineage: Bacteria; Pseudomonadati; Pseudomonadota; Gammaproteobacteria; Enterobacterales; Enterobacteriaceae.